RNAcentral lists this unclassified non-coding RNA (401 nucleotides) under soil metagenome. Its description in RNAcentral is "partial contains 5.8S ribosomal RNA, internal transcribed spacer 2, and large subunit ribosomal RNA". The stretch from base 1 to 121 matches the Rfam family "5.8S ribosomal RNA", at positions 35 to 154 of the family's 154-position model. The record is from RNAcentral.
GAUGAAGAACGUAGUGAAAUGCGAUAAGUAAUGUGAAUUGCAGAAUUCAGUGAAUCAUCGAAUCUUUGAACGCACCUUGCGCCCUUUGGCUAUUCUGAAGGGCAUGCCUGUUUGAGUAUCAUGAACACCUCAACUCUCAUGGCCUGCCAUGAUGAGCUUGGACUUUGGGGGUCUUGCCGGCCUAGCGUCGGCUCCUCUCAAAUGGAUCAGCUUGCCAGUGUUUGGUGGCGUCACAGGUGUGAUAACUAUCUACGCUUGUGGUUUUCCGCCAGGUAACCUCCAGCGAUGGAGGUUCGCUGGAGCUCACAAAUGUCUCUCCUCAGCGAAGACAGCUCUUGAACGUUUGAUCUCAAAUCAGGUAGGACUACCCGCUGAACUUAAGCAUAUCAAUAAGCGGAGGA